RNAcentral lists this ribosomal RNA (425 nucleotides) under uncultured bacterium. RNAcentral's name for it is "partial 16S ribosomal RNA". It matches the Rfam family "Bacterial small subunit ribosomal RNA", at positions 354 to 796 of the family's 1533-position model. The record is from RNAcentral.
GUGGGGGAUAUUGCACAAUGGAGGAAACUCUGAUGCAGCGACGCCGCGUGAGUGAAGAAGUAUUUCGGUAUGUAAAGCUCUAUCAGCAGGGAAGAUAAUGACAGUACCUGACUAAGAAGCCCCGGCUAACUACGUGCCAGCAGCCGCGGUAAUACGUAGGGGGCGAGCGUUGCUCGGAUUGACUGGGCGUAAAGCGCGCGUAGGCGGUCCAUUAAGUGUGCGGUGAAAUUCGGAGGCUCAACCUCCGUCCCGCCGCGCAAACUGAUGGUCUUGAGAUUGGGAGGGGGAUGCGGAAUUCCUGGUGUAGCGGUGAAAUGCAUUGAUAUCAGGAGGAACACCGGCGGCGAAAGCGGCAUCCUGGCUUAUAUCUGACGCUGAGGCGCGAAAGCGUGGGUAGCAAACGGGAUUAGAAACCCCGGUAGUCC